GUAACACGUUUGUAACUUACCUUUAACUGGAGGAUAGCUCCUCGAAAGAGGGAUUAAUACUCCAUAACAUUAUGAAAUGGCAUCAUUUUAUAAUUAAAGCUCCGGCGGUUAAAGAUAGACAUGCGUCUGAUUAGCUAGUUGGCGAGGUAAAAGCUCACCAAGGCUACGAUCAGUAGGGGUUCUGAGAGGAUAUACCCCCACACUGGUACUGAGACACGGACCAGACUCC
This 229-nucleotide ribosomal RNA is filed under the name uncultured bacterium. Its description in RNAcentral is "partial 16S ribosomal RNA". It matches the Rfam family "Bacterial small subunit ribosomal RNA", at positions 110 to 339 of the family's 1533-position model. The record is from RNAcentral.